GAUGAACGCUGGCGGCGUGCCUAAUACAUGCAAGUCGAGCGAAACUUCUUUAUCACCGAGUGCUUGCGCUCACCGAUAAAGAGUUGAGUGGCGAACGGGUGAGUAACACGUGGGCAACCUGCCCAAAAGAGGGGGAUAACACUUGGAAACAGGUGCUAAUACCGCAUAACCAUAGUUACCGCAUGGUAACUAUGUAAAAGGUGGCUAUACUACCGCUUUUGGAUGGGCCCGCGGCGCAUUAGCUAGUUGGUAGGGUAAAGGCUUACCAAGGCAAUGAUGCGUAGCCGAAUUGAGAGGUUGAUCGGCCACAUUGGGACUGAGACACGGCCCAAACUCCUACGGGAGGCAGCAGUAGGGAAUCUUCCACAAUGGGCGAAAGCCUGAUGGAGCAACGCCGCGUGGGUGAAGAAGGUCUUCGGAUCGUAAAACCCUGUUGUUAGAGAAGAAAGUGCGUGAGAGUAACUGUUCACGUUUCGACGGUAUCUAACCAGAAAGCCACGGCUAACUACGUG
Molecule: ribosomal RNA, 512 nt
Filed under: uncultured bacterium
Lineage: Bacteria
Description: partial 16S ribosomal RNA
Rfam family: Bacterial small subunit ribosomal RNA
Source: RNAcentral